Molecule: ribosomal RNA, 252 nt
Filed under: uncultured bacterium
Lineage: Bacteria
Description: partial 16S ribosomal RNA
Rfam family: Bacterial small subunit ribosomal RNA
Source: RNAcentral
ACGUAGGGGGCAAGCGUUGUCCGGAAUCACUGGGCGUAAAGCGCGCGCAGGCGGUGGAGUAAGUCAGACGUGAAAGGGUUCGGCUCAACCGAACCAUUGCGUUUGAAACUACCUCACUUGAGUCUAGAAGAGGAAAGUGGAAUGUAUGGUGUAGCGGUGGAAUGCUUAGAUAUCAUAUAGAACACCCGUGGCGAAGGCGGCUUUCUGGUCUAAGACUGACGCUCAUGCGCGAAAGUUUGGGGAGCAACCGGG